Molecule: long non-coding RNA, 666 nt
Organism: Rosa rugosa (rugosa rose)
Lineage: Eukaryota; Viridiplantae; Streptophyta; Magnoliopsida; Rosales; Rosaceae
Exons: 3
Source: RefSeq, a predicted model, not a curated record
CUCCCCUCAACCUGCUGAUCAUCAUACUAGGAGGAUUGCACCUAGAGUGACCGGUUUCACGUUCGUCGGAGCUCGGUAAGUUUUCAAUCCGAAACGAAAAUCUUUCGAUCGGUAUAUCUCGAGCUGUAGUGCAUCGUUUUGAUUGAUUCUUGAACCAGUGAGUUCUCCUUGAUGUUCUUAACAACUCUCUAGAAGGGAUCGAAGCCUGAAAUUGAAGUUUUGACGUCGAAAUCAAGCCUUGCCGGAUUCUGCAAAUUUCGCCGGAUUCUGGAAAUUUUCCGGCCACCUCGACUGUUUUAGGUGAUUGACGGAUCGAUUUGGCGGACAAUUUGUGAAAUUGUUGUUGAGCUGUUAAGAAGAUGCAGCUGGAUUAGAGCGGGUAAUCCUACAGGUCAAGAGAAUCAGGACGGAGAUCGAGCUGCGUAGAGUAGCUGCAAUUGUGUCAAUCUGAAUUGCUUUGUGAGCCGGUGAGGUGUGUUAUGCUCAUUUAGAGCUUUACAAUAUUUCUUGUGAGAGUGAAUUGUAAUAAUUAACUCGAAGUUUACCGAUUUGGAAAUUUUGUGUAAGUGGUGGAGUUGUUUCUGAGAAAAGAAUUCAGAACGUUUAUUUGUUUAAGUUGUUUAAUUCAUGUUUCGGAUUUUGAAUGUGUUAUUCAAAAUUCGGGGC